Molecule: non-coding RNA, 45 nt
Organism: Schistosoma rodhaini
Lineage: Eukaryota; Metazoa; Platyhelminthes; Trematoda; Strigeidida; Schistosomatidae
Source: Rfam
AUCCAACUGAUGAGUCCCACAAAAGACCAAACACGCGUCAUGGAU